Long non-coding RNA from Brassica napus (rape), 1036 nucleotides. RefSeq lists it as uncharacterized. The record is from RefSeq and is a predicted model, not a curated record. NCBI's taxonomy places the organism in Eukaryota, Viridiplantae, Streptophyta, Magnoliopsida, Brassicales, Brassicaceae. The transcript has 2 exons.
CGGGGAAGAAUUUUUUGAUAUAUAUAUAUAUAUAUUCUUACUUAUAUAUGUAUAAUACAAAAAUAUGUUUAAUAAAUGUUUAUCUAUAAGAGACACAACUAAACUAUUGUUUGAUCUUGAGAACACAACAAAAAUAAGAUAAUUAUAUUCAAACAUACUAAAGUAAUUUCAUAAUCUAAAGUAUUAUAUAAAUAUAUUGUUUCAUUUGAAUUUUUAUCAUCUAUAUCAUUUAUAAACCAGAAAACACAAGAUUACAAAUUACUAAAUUUUGAUAAAGCCCAUCUAAAGUCCAGUUAAAAUCUAUUUUUUCAUGUUAUAACUAAAGUGCACCUAAACGAUAGCAAACACGGUUACGCGGCCGCGUUUUUGAACAAGGAUUUAAACAUAUAUUAAUUAAUAGAAAGGUUGAUUGUGGUGACUUAUUAAAAUUAAGGGUUCUUUCCUUCUUCUUUUUUCGUGACCACAAUCCUUAAUUUCCAAAAUCAACUAAAUCUUUAAAAAAUUUCAGAGAGAAAGAAGACGAAUCUCUUGAAGAUUUGGAAAAAAAAAUUGAUGAUGCAGAGGAAGAAGCUUGCAAUGAAAAGGGCUAAAACGCACCGUGAAGAUUCCAAUGCAGAGAAUGCGAGUGAUGAAGAGAGUGGUGACGAUGAGACGAAACCUUAUCCAUUGUCUUCCCGCGAAGGUAAAGCGCAAAGAGUUGUUUUCAAAUAGUGUCGACAGUGAAGAGCUUAUGGCAUUAGGAAAUACAUUUAGGUCGACCAAUGUUUCACUAUGCGGAGGAACCAACACAAAUACUUUCCCAAGGUAUUUCUCAAGAACAAUCACAAGCUUGAUCAAGUGUUCUAUCGGUUAUAAUGGCUCACGGUCUACAUCUCUUUUGUUAUGUAAUGAGUCCGAACUUCUAUGUCUUUUGUUGUGUCAUGAGUCUUUUGUUAUGUAAUGGUUAACAAUUCUUAACUCUUUUGUUAUGUAAUGCUUCAAAACUCUAUGUCAUAUCUUCUUUGUUAUGUAUUGGUUCUAUUAAUGGUUCACAAUC